CGCAGGAUGGAGUAUAGGUAACUCGCGGGCCUCCUUAGCCCGAAAUGGUGGUUCAAUUCCGCCUCCUGCAA
Molecule: transfer RNA, 71 nt
Filed under: Bacteriophage sp.
Also listed under: 1 other name
Description: tRNA-Arg
Rfam family: tRNA
About the family: Transfer RNA (tRNA) molecules are approximately 80 nucleotides in length. Their secondary structure includes four short double-helical elements and three loops (D, anti-codon, and T loops). Further hydrogen bonds mediate the characteristic L-shaped molecular structure. tRNAs have two regions of fundamental functional importance: the anti-codon, which is responsible for specific mRNA codon recognition, and the 3' end, to which the tRNAs corresponding amino acid is attached (by aminoacyl-tRNA synthetases). tRNAs cope with the degeneracy of the genetic code in two manners: having more than one tRNA (with a specific anti-codon) for a particular amino acid; and 'wobble' base-pairing, i.e. permitting non-standard base-pairing at the 3rd anti-codon position.
Source: RNAcentral